GAGCGAGAAAGUGGAGCAAUCCAUGAGUAAAGCGGCGCACGGGUGAGUAACACGUGACUAACCUACCCUCGAGCGGGGAAUAACCUGGGGAAACCCGGGCUAAUACCGCAUAACACCUACGGGUCAAAGGAGCAAUCCACUUGAGGAGGGGGUCGCGGCAGAUUAGUUAGUUGGCGGGGUAAUGGCCCACCAAGACGAUGAUCUGUAUCCGGCCUGAGAGGGCGCACGGACACACUGGAACUGAAACACGGUCCAGACUCCUACGGGAGGCAGCAGUGGGGAAUUUUGCGCAAUGGGGGAAACCCUGACGCAGCAACGCCGCGUGGAGGAUGAAGUCCCUUGGGACGUAAACUCUUUUCGACCGGGACGAUUGUGACGGUUCCGGAUGAAGAAGCCCCGGCUAACUUCGUGCCAGCAGCCGCGGUAAUACGAGGGGGGCGAGCGUUGUUCGGAAUUAUUGGGCGUAAGGGUGCGUAAGC
This 479-nucleotide ribosomal RNA is filed under the name uncultured forest soil bacterium. RNAcentral describes it as "bacterial SSU rRNA". It matches the Rfam family "Bacterial small subunit ribosomal RNA", at positions 64 to 576 of the family's 1533-position model. The record is from RNAcentral.